Molecule: non-coding RNA, 59 nt
Organism: Salmo salar (Atlantic salmon)
Lineage: Eukaryota; Metazoa; Chordata; Actinopteri; Salmoniformes; Salmonidae
Source: Rfam
UGGCUCAGUCGGUAGAGCAUGGUGUUUUGCAACGCCAGGGUUGUGGGUUCGAUUCCCAC